Triplophysa rosa is the source of this 478-nucleotide long non-coding RNA. RefSeq lists it as uncharacterized. The record is from RefSeq and is a predicted model, not a curated record. Lineage: Eukaryota; Metazoa; Chordata; Actinopteri; Cypriniformes; Nemacheilidae. The transcript is spliced from 3 exons.
GCCAGUGAACCAGUACACUGCCAAUGAUGAGGCACGGAGGGGCCAUCUCCGCCACUGAAGCCAUUCUGAACAACUGCUUUAUCAGAGUGUACUAGCACACCUCCAACACACAAGAGCAGGGACCCAGUCAGAGCUUGAACCCUGAUGAAGAGAUCAAGAGGCCUGACAGAUGUUGACCUGCAGAACACCACACUGAGCAGACUUGUGCCACCGUUUUGCAUAAAAUGGAGCAUGAAGAGACAGGGCAUGGACCACAUCUCUAGUUUUUACGCACCCACCCCCACACACACAUUCAGAUAAGAUUUCUCACUGAUUAAAUGUUCAUAUGAAAGUUUGUUACGUUUUGGUGGUCAAGUUAUAAUUCAUUGUCAUAAAUCUAAAUUAAGAGUUUGGUUCCAAAAUGAGGUAACUACGUUUUUUUUUUCAAAAAACAUGUUUUUUUAUUGAGCACUCCAAUUCAUAUAAAUCAAAGUGCAGC